CAGGGUUGGGUUGAGGUAGAUUGCUACAUGUAUGCUUUGGAAGCGAUGGUUACUGGAGGUAACUUUUCCUAUGGAUCAAAAUGGAAAUCACUUAACGUGAAGGCAUUCAUCCUUUGGAGCACAAUCCUGCCCACCUGUGGCACCAGUGUCCCAGCCCCAUUGAUGGCUCAUCCUCAAGGCCAGAGGCCCACCGAGCCCCACACAAGCAUGGGUCCCUGUGUCUCCUGUCCUCCCACACCCUGCAUCUCCGCUACCCCUUCAGACAACUGUAAUUAAAUCCGUCAUUCGUCAGAGCUGCCUGAGCCCCACGCUCUCACCUGGGUGUACACACUUGGCUUUUCUUCUGGUGACAAAGAAGUCAAUUCAAAUCAACUGAGGCUGAUUCUUUUGAGAGGGAAAGAAGAGAAAGCAAGCGAGACGGGCCGGCACA
Cygnus olor (mute swan) is the source of this 430-nucleotide long non-coding RNA. RefSeq lists it as uncharacterized. The record is from RefSeq and is a predicted model, not a curated record. The transcript is spliced from 3 exons. NCBI's taxonomy places the organism in Eukaryota, Metazoa, Chordata, Aves, Anseriformes, Anatidae.